UGGGGAAUUUUGGACAAUGGGCGAAAGCCUGAUCCAGCAAUGCCGCGUGAGUGAAGAAGGCCUUCGGGUUGUAAAGCUCUUUUGUCAGGGAAGAAACGGUGAGAGCUAAUAUCUCUUGCUAAUGACGGUACCUGAAGAAUAAGCACCGGCUAACUACGUGCCAGCAGCCGCGGUAAUACGUAGGGUGCAAGCGUUAAUCGGAAUUACUGGGCGUAAAGCGUGCGCAGGCGGUUUUGUAAGUCUGAUGUGAAAUCCCCGGGCUCAACCUGGGAAUUGCAUUGGAGACUGCAAGGCUAGAAUCUGGCAGAGGGGGGUAGAAUUCCACGUGUAGCAGUGAAAUGCGUAGAUAUGUGGAGGAACACCGAUGGCGAAGGCAGCCCCCUGGGUCAAGAUUGACGCUCGUGCACGAAAGCGUGGGGAGCAAACAGGAUUAGAUACCCGCGUAGUCCCUGAGCGGGCUGGCAAGGCGCAU
Molecule: ribosomal RNA, 472 nt
Filed under: uncultured bacterium
Lineage: Bacteria
Description: bacterial SSU rRNA
Rfam family: Bacterial small subunit ribosomal RNA
Source: RNAcentral